RNAcentral lists this ribosomal RNA (855 nucleotides) under uncultured bacterium. RNAcentral describes it as "bacterial SSU rRNA". It matches the Rfam family "Bacterial small subunit ribosomal RNA", at positions 9 to 844 of the family's 1533-position model. The record is from RNAcentral.
GAGUUUGAUCCUGGCUCACCUUCAACGCUGGCGGCAGGCCUAACACAUGCAAGUCGAGCGGCAACGAGUUAACUGAACCUUCGGGGAACGUUAACGGCGUCGAGCGGCGGACGGGUGAGUAAUGCCUGGGAAAUUGCCCUGAUGUGGGGGAUAACCAUUGGAAACGAUGGCUAAUACCGCAUAAUAGCUUCGGCUCAAAGAGGGGGACCUUAGGGCCUCUCGCGUCAGGAUAUGCCCAGGUGGGAUUAGCUAGUUGGUGAGGUAAUGGCUCACCAAGGCGACGAUCCCUAGCUGGUCUGAGAGGAUGAUCAGCCACACUGGAACUGAGACACGGUCCAGACUCCUACGGGAGGCAGCAGUGGGGAAUAUUGCACAAUGGGCGCAAGCCUGAUGCAGCCAUGCCGCGUGUAUGAAGAAGGCCUUCGGGUUGUAAAGUACUUUCAGCAGUGAGGAAGGUGGGUAUGUUAAUAGCAUACUCAUUUGACGUUAGCUGCAGAAGAAGCACCGGCUAACUCCGUGCCAGCAGCCGCGGUAAUACGGAGGGUGCGAGCGUUAAUCGGAAUUACUGGGCGUAAAGCGCAUGCAGGUGGUUUGUUAAGUCAGAUGUGAAAGCCCGGGGCUCAACCUCGGAAUUGCAUUUGAAACUGGCAAACUAGAGUACUGUAGAGGGGGGUAGAAUUUCAGGUGUAGCGGUGAAAUGCGUAGAGAUCUGAAGGAAUACCGGGGGCGAAGGCGGCCCCCUGGACAGAUACUGACACUCAGAUGCGAAAGCGGGGGGGAGCAAACAGGAUUAGAUACCCUGGAAGCCCCACCCCCGGAAACGAUGUUCUACUUGGAAGGUUGGUGGCCUUGGAA